CCUAGAACUUGCGUUACCAGAUGGUACUCGUUGAAGAUGUGGAUAUUGGUAGUGUAAAGUGAAAUGACGCGAUUCGUGAGGUGGCAAACUCCCAGAGACAAGACCACAGCUAAGGACUGGUUCAGCAAUGAAUGGAUUGUGGACGUACCAAGCAGAACCUGGUGCCACAUGGCGUGAAAGGAAUACUUGACUGAUUGGUAGGAGGCAUCCUGGGGCAUCUCGUGCAGAAGGAGCACGCAAGACUCGUCGCGUCAACGUCAUCAUUUACUCCUGACGACUGUUGCCAUUGAGGGGUAGAUGGUAAAUACUGGACCAAAGCAGCUUGGGAUUGGUUGUCUUCGGGCGUUUACUGGAGACUAAAGGGAGUGUGUGUAACGGUACGGUCCGGCCGGAACAGAGAUGGUGUCUGCUGAGAAACCAGCAUGGGCGGAGAAAGAGCAAUGGCACUGUCCAGAGUAGGAAUGGAAGAGUGACCUGCAGGGCAAUGUUAUCUACAA
Molecule: non-coding RNA, 497 nt
Organism: Procambarus clarkii (red swamp crayfish)
Lineage: Eukaryota; Metazoa; Arthropoda; Malacostraca; Decapoda; Cambaridae
Source: RefSeq, a predicted model, not a curated record